This is a non-coding RNA of Schistocerca americana (American grasshopper), 72 nucleotides long. Lineage: Eukaryota; Metazoa; Arthropoda; Insecta; Orthoptera; Acrididae. The record is from the annotation of a RefSeq genome assembly.
ACCAUGGUGGCAUAGUGGUUAGCACAUCUGCCUUAUGAGCAGAUGGCCUGGGUUCGAAUCCCGGCCCUGGUA